Molecule: ribosomal RNA, 1429 nt
Filed under: Salmonella enterica
Lineage: Bacteria; Pseudomonadati; Pseudomonadota; Gammaproteobacteria; Enterobacterales; Enterobacteriaceae
Also listed under: 4 other names
Description: bacterial LSU rRNA
Rfam family: Bacterial large subunit ribosomal RNA
Source: RNAcentral
GUGUGUUCCAGGUAAAUCCGGUUCACUUUAACACUGAGGCGUGAUGACGAGGCACUACGGUGCUGAAGCAACAAAUGCCCUGCUUCCAGGAAAAGCCUCUAAGCAUCAGGUAACAUCAAAUCGUACCCCAAACCGACACAGGUGGUCAGGUAGAGAAUACCAAGGCGCUUGAGAGAACUCGGGUGAAGGAACUAGGCAAAAUGGUGCCGUAACUUCGGGAGAAGGCACGCUGACACGUAGGUGAAGUGAUUUACUCAUGGAGCUGAAGUCAGUCGAAGAUACCAGCUGGCUGCAACUGUUUAUUAAAAACACAGCACUGUGCAAACACGAAAGUGGACGUAUACGGUGUGACGCCUGCCCGGUGCCGGAAGGUUAAUUGAUGGGGUCAGCGCAAGCGAAGCUCCUGAUCGAAGCCCCGGUAAACGGCGGCCGUAACUAUAACGGUCCUAAGGUAGCGAAAUUCCUUGUCGGGUAAGUUCCGACCUGCACGAAUGGCGUAAUGAUGGCCAGGCUGUCUCCACCCGAGACUCAGUGAAAUUGAACUCGCUGUGAAGAUGCAGUGUACCCGCGGCAAGACGGAAAGACCCCGUGAACCUUUACUAUAGCUUGACACUGAACAUUGAGCCUUGAUGUGUAGGAUAGGUGGGAGGCUUUGAAGUGUGGACGCCAGUCUGCAUGGAGCCGGCCUUGAAAUACCACCCUUUAAUGUUUGAUGUUCUAACGUGGACCCGUGAUCCGGGUUGCGGACAGUGUCUGGUGGGUAGUUUGACUGGGGCGGUCUCCUCCUAAAGAGUAACGGAGGAGCACGAAGGUUGGCUAAUCCUGGUCGGACAUCAGGAGGUUAGUGCAAUGGCAUAAGCCAGCUUGACUGCGAGCGUGACGGCGCGAGCAGGUGCGAAAGCAGGUCAUAGUGAUCCGGUGGUUCUGAAUGGAAGGGCCAUCGCUCAACGGAUAAAAGGUACUCCGGGGAUAACAGGCUGAUACCGCCCAAGAGUUCAUAUCGACGGCGGUGUUUGGCACCUCGAUGUCGGCUCAUCACAUCCUGGGGCUGAAGUAGGUCCCAAGGGUAUGGCUGUUCGCCAUUUAAAGUGGUACGCGAGCUGGGUUUAGAACGUCGUGAGACAGUUCGGUCCCUAUCUGCCGUGGGCGCUGGAGAACUGAGGGGGGCUGCUCCUAGUACGAGAGGACCGGAGUGGACGCAUCACUGGUGUUCGGGUUGUCAUGCCAAUGGCACUGCCCGGUAGCUAAAUGCGGAAGAGAUAAGUGCUGAAAGCAUCUAAGCACGAAACUUGCCCCGAGAUGAGUUCUCCCUGAGACUUUAGGUCUCCUGAAGGAACGUUGAAGACGACGACGUUGAUAGGCCGGGUGUGUAAGCGCAGCGAUGCGUUGAGCUAACCGGUACUAAUGAACCGUGAGGCUUAACCUUACA